GAUGAACGCUAGCUAUAGGCUUAACACAUGCAAGUCGAGGGGAAACGGCAUUAUGUGCUUGCACAUUUUGGACGUCGACCGGCGCACGGGUGAGUAUCGCGUAUCCAACCUGCCCUUUACUUGGGGAUACCCCGUUGAAAGACGGCCUAAUACCCGAUGUAAUUCAUUGAUGGCAUCAGAUAUGAAUAAAAGAUUUAUCGGUAAAGGAUGGGGAUGCGUCUGAUUAGCUUGUUGGUGAGGUAAAGGCUCACCAAGGCGACGAUCAGUAGGGGUUCUGAGAGGAAGGUCCCCCACAUUGGAACUGAGACACGGUCCAAACUCCUACGGGAGGCAGCAGUGAGGAAUAUUGGUCAAUGGGCGCAAGCCUGUACCAGCCAAGUAGCGUGCAGGAAGACGGCCCUAUGGGUUGUAAACUGCUUUUAUACGAGAAUAAUUUGAUGCACGUAUGCGUUAUUGCAUGUAUCGUAUGAAUAAGGACCGGCUAAUUCCGUGCCAGCAGCCGCGGUAAUACGGAAGGUCCAGGCGUUAUCCGGAUUUAUUGGGUUUAAAGGGAGUGUAGGCGGUUUGUUAAGCGUGUUGUGAAAUUUAGGUGCUCAACAUUUAACUUGCAGCGCGAACUGUCAGACUUGAGUACACGCAACGUAUGCGGAAUUCAUGGUGUAGCGGUGAAAUGCUUAGAUAUCAUGAAGAACUCCGAUUGCGAAGGCAGCAUACGGGAGUGUAACUGACGCUUAAGCUCGAAGGUGCGGGUAUCGAACAGG
This 761-nucleotide ribosomal RNA is filed under the name uncultured Prevotella sp. RNAcentral describes it as "bacterial SSU rRNA". It matches the Rfam family "Bacterial small subunit ribosomal RNA", at positions 28 to 776 of the family's 1533-position model. The record is from RNAcentral. Lineage: Bacteria; Pseudomonadati; Bacteroidota; Bacteroidia; Bacteroidales; Prevotellaceae.